Molecule: transfer RNA, 60 nt
Filed under: Desulfuromonadales bacterium C00003094
Lineage: Bacteria; Pseudomonadati; Thermodesulfobacteriota; Desulfuromonadia; Desulfuromonadales
Description: tRNA-Gly
Rfam family: tRNA
About the family: Transfer RNA (tRNA) molecules are approximately 80 nucleotides in length. Their secondary structure includes four short double-helical elements and three loops (D, anti-codon, and T loops).
Source: RNAcentral
GCGGGAAUAGCUCAGUUGGCUAGAGCGUCAGCCUUCCAAGCUGAGGGUCGCGGGUUCGAG